AGCGAACGCUGGCGGCAGGCCUAACACAUGCAAGUCGAACGGACCUUUCGGGGUUAGUGGCGGACGGGUGAGUAACACGUGGGAACGUGCCUUUAGGUUCGGAAUAACUCAGGGAAACUUGUGCUAAUACCGAAUGUGCCCUUCGGGGGAAAGAUUUAUCGCCUUUAGAGCGGCCCGCGUCUGAUUAGCUAGUUGGUUGAGGUAAUGGCUCACCAAGGCGACGAUCAGUAGCUGGUCUGAGAGGAUGAUCAGCCACAUUGGGACUGAGACACGGCCCAAACUCCUACGGGAGGCAGCAGUGGGGAAUCUUGCGCAAUGGGCGAAAGCCUGACGCAGCCAUGCCGCGUGAAUGAUGAAGGUCUUAGGAUUGUAAAAUUCUUUCACCGGGGACGAUAAUGACGGUACCCGGAGAAGAAGCCCCGGCUAACUUCGUG
RNAcentral lists this ribosomal RNA (434 nucleotides) under uncultured bacterium. RNAcentral's name for it is "partial 16S ribosomal RNA". It matches the Rfam family "Bacterial small subunit ribosomal RNA", at positions 29 to 507 of the family's 1533-position model. The record is from RNAcentral.